This 461-nucleotide ribosomal RNA is filed under the name uncultured bacterium. Its description in RNAcentral is "bacterial SSU rRNA". It matches the Rfam family "Bacterial small subunit ribosomal RNA", at positions 34 to 507 of the family's 1533-position model. The record is from RNAcentral.
CGCUGGCGGCGUGCCUAACACAUGCAAGUCGAACGGAGCUUUGAGAGCUUGCUCUUGAAGCUUAGUGGCGAACGGGUGAGUAACGCGUGAGCAACCUGCCUUUCAGAGGGGGACAACAGUUGGAAACGACUGCUAAUACCGCAUAAUGUAUCGAGGGGGCAUCCUCUUGAUACCAAAGAUUUAUUGCUGAAAGAUGGUCUCGCGUCUGAUUAGCUAGUUGGUGAGGUAACGGCUCACCAAGGCGACGAUCAGUAGCCGGUCUGAGAGGAUGAACGGCCACAUUGGGACUGAGAUACGGCCCAGACUCCUACGGGAGGCAGCAGUGGGGAAUAUUGGGCAAUGGGGGAAACCCUGACCCAGCAACGCCGCGUGAAGGAAGAAGGCCUUCGGGUUGUAAACUUCUUUUACCAGGGACGAAGAACGUGACGGUACCUGGAGAAAAAGCAACGGCUAACUACGUG